UAGAAUAUUUUAAAACCUUUCGAUACGAAAUUAUAGACCAAAUACUGAUCUCUAGCGGGAAAAAAUCCGGGGUACAUUCAUCAUCAUAAUCUGCUGGUUUAGACAUAGCGUGGUUAAGUGUUUCUACAUGAUACGGUUCGAAAAAAGUAGACAAUUUUUUUGGCAAAAGAUUUCCUGAGGAACUUCUCGAAUUAAGGCCUUCAGCAAAUGACCAAGAGGUGUUUGACCGAAUAAUCUAACAAGGGAAGGUCGACAGACAAAAUAUUAGAGGCGAAAUGAGGAAUGCAUAAAUAGAAACGACUAGGGUUCAAAUUUUGUUUAAGGAAUGAUUUCCAUGAAGUAAAUUAUAACCAUUCUAUUACUCUUUUAACAAAUCGCGACCAUAAAAGUGAAUUCACACAAUUUUUAUGGAUAUACUGCUUUUUAUAUUUCUGGUAAACCUCAUGAAAGAAUUUCCGGAAAAAAUCCUGAGUUAACUCAGGUUGUGAUAAGGAUGAUUUUGAACAGAAUGUUUUUUUUUCCAAAAAUCCAUUAAAAUUCUUAAGUUCUAUGAAUAAAUUUUGAUGAAGCUACUGUUUAUACAUAAAUUAUUCGUUUGAAGAGCCUUUUGAGAAAACACUGUUAAAGAUUUUUUUCAAGGAUUACUCUAGGAAUCCCUUCAGAGAUUCAGCCGCUUAGGAAUUUUUCAAAAUCCUUUCAUAAAUGUC
This is a long non-coding RNA of Aedes aegypti (yellow fever mosquito), 707 nucleotides long. RefSeq lists it as uncharacterized. The transcript has 2 exons. Lineage: Eukaryota; Metazoa; Arthropoda; Insecta; Diptera; Culicidae. The record is from RefSeq and is a predicted model, not a curated record.